AUCAUGACUUCACUUUGUCCUUUAAUUUAAUAUGGUUAGAACUACCAUGGUUUUUUAAGUAGUUGGGGCAUUAAGAAACAGUAUGCUGGAUGUUUGGCCUUGCAUCUGUCCUUCCAUGAAUUCAUGCUUGUGCAUUGCUAGUUAUUGCUUUUUUUGCAGGUCUUCUUCUUCCUCGAUCUGGUGCAGCAGCAACAAUUCAAGGUCAUGGUCAUGGAGCAGCAGCCAUAUAUUUUUCUUCUUCUUAUUCUUCCCUGAGAUGACAUGAGAUGAGGCUCUGUUGGUCGGUCUUCAAUUCUUCAUGCUGCUGCUGCUACUGCUACAUGAGGACCCUCUUCAAUUCUGCAUCCGUUGCGGCCGCCGCAGCUUCCACCUCCAGAAGAGCACCUGCUCCUCGUGCGGUUACCCGGCCGCCCGCAUCCGCAAGUGUGAAGUGCGAAUCCAUGUCCGAAGCUGUGAAGCAUAUCAGCAACGAGUAGCAUAUUAUGUGUUGUAGUUGUAGGCAGUAGUAGGCAUAUCUGGG
Long non-coding RNA from Triticum aestivum (bread wheat), 520 nucleotides. RefSeq lists it as uncharacterized. The record is from RefSeq and is a predicted model, not a curated record. Lineage: Eukaryota; Viridiplantae; Streptophyta; Magnoliopsida; Poales; Poaceae. The transcript has 3 exons.